GAUUAGUGGCGAACGGGUGAGUAAUGCUUGAGUAACCUGCCCUUAACUCUGGGAUAAGCCUGGGAAACUYGGGUCUAAUACCGGAUAGGAGCGUCCACCGCAUGGUGGGUGUUGGAAAGAUUUAUCGGUUUUGGAUGGACUCGCGGCCUAUCAGCUUGUUGGUGAGGUAAUGGCUCACCAAGGCGACGACGGGUAGCCGGCCUGAGAGGGUGACCGGCCACAAUGGGACUGAGACACGGCCCAGACUCCUACGGGAGGCAGCAGUGGGGAAUAUUGCACAAUGGGCGMAAGCCUGAUGCAGCGACGCCGCGUGAGGGAUGACGGCCUUCGGGUUGUAAACCUCUUUCAGUAGGGAAGAAGCGAAAGUGACGGUACCUGCAGAAGAAGCACCGGCUAACUACGUGCCAGCAGCCGCGGUAAUACGUAGGGUGCGAGCGUUAUCCGGAAUUAUUGGGCGUAAAGAGCUCGUAGGCGGUUUGUCGCGUCUGUCGUGAAAGUCCGGGGCUUAACCCCGGAUCUGCGGUGGGUACGGGCAGACUAGAGUGCAGUAGGGGAGACUGGAAUUCCUGGUGUAGCGGUGGAAUGCGCAGAUAUCAGGAGGAACACCGAUGGCGAAGGCAGGUCUCUGGGCUGUAACUGACGCUGAGGAGCGAAAGCAUGGGGAGCGAACAGGAUUAGAUACCCUGGUAGUCCAUGCCGUAAACGUUGGGCACUAGGUGUGGGGACCAUUCCACGGUUUCCGCGCCGCAGCUAACGCAUUAAGUGCCCCGCCUGGGGAGUACGGCCGCAAGGCUAAAACUCAAAGGAAUUGACGGGGGCCCGCACAAGCGGCGGAGCAUGCGGAUUAAUUCGAUGCAACGCGAAGAACCUUACCAAGGCUUGACAUGUUCUCGAUCGCCGUAGAGAUACGGUUUCCCCUUUGGGGUGGGUUCACAGGUGGUGCAUGGUUGUCGUCAGCUCGUGUCGUGAGAUGUUGGGUUAAGUCCCGCAACGAGCGCAACCCUCGUUCCAUGUUGCCAGCACGUCGUGGUGGGGACUCAUGGGAGACUGCCGGGGUCAACUCGGAGGAAGGUGAGGACGACGUCAAAUCAUCAUGCCCCUUAUGUCUUGGGCUUCACGCAUGCUACAAUGGCCGGUACAAUGGGUUGCGAUACUGUGAGGUGGAGCUAAUCCCAAAAAGCCGGUCUCAGUUCGGAUUGAGGUCUGCAACUCGACCCCAUGAAGUCGGAGUCGCUAGUAAUCGCAGAUCAGCAACGCUGCGGUGAAUACGUUCCCGGGCCUUGUACMCMCCCCCCUCAAGUCMCGAAAGUUGGUAACACCCGAAG
Molecule: ribosomal RNA, 1325 nt
Filed under: Micrococcus sp. PSTJ2
Lineage: Bacteria; Bacillati; Actinomycetota; Actinomycetes; Micrococcales; Micrococcaceae
Description: bacterial SSU rRNA
Rfam family: Bacterial small subunit ribosomal RNA
Source: RNAcentral